GGGAUUGCCCUAGUAACGGCGAGUGAAGCGGCAAUAGCUCAAAUUUGAAAUCUGGCCUCCUUUGAAGGUCCGAGUUGUAAUUUGUAGAGGGUGCUUUGGUGUUGUCGGCGGUCUAAGUUCCUUGGAACAGGACAUCACAGAGGGUGAGAAUCCCGUUUGUGGUCGCCAGCCUUCACCGUGUAAAACCCCUUCGACGAGUCGAGUUGUUUGGGAAUGCAGCUCUAAAUGGGAGGUAAAUUUCUUCUAAAGCUAAAUACCGGCCAGAGACCGAUAGCGCACAAGUAGAGUGAUCGAAAGAUGAAAAGCACUUUGGAAAGAGAGUCAAAUAGCACGUGAAAUUGUUGAAAGGGAAGCGCUUGCAGCCAGACUUGCCCGUAGUUGCUCAUCUGGGCUCUUGCCCAGAGCACUCCUCUGCGGGCAGGCCAGCAUCAGUUUGGGCGGCUGGAUAAAGGCCUCUGUCAUGUAUCUCCCUUCGGGGUGACCUUAUAGGGGAGGCGUAAUGCAGUCAGCCCGGACUGAGGUCCGCGCAUUAGCUAGGAUGCUGGCGUAAUGGCUGUAAGCGGCCCGUCUUGAAACACGGACCAAGGAGUCUAACAUCUAUGCGAGUGUUUGGGUGUCAAGCCCGAGCGCGCAAUGAAAGUGAACGGAGGUGGGAACCCUCUUUCUUGGGGGUGCACCAUCGACCGAUCCUGAUGUCUUCGGAUGGAUUUGAGUAAGAGCAUAGCUGUUGGGACCCGAAAGAUGGUGAACUAUGCUUGAAUAGGGUGAAGCCAGAGGAAACUCUGGUGGAGGCUCGCAGCGGUUCUGACGUGCAAAUCGAUCGUCAAAUUUGGGCAUAGGGGCGAAAGACUAAUCGAACUAUCUAGUAGCUGGUUCCUGCCGAAGUUUCCCUCAGGAUAGCAGUAACGUAUUCAGUUUUAUGAGGUAAAGCGAAUGAUUAGAGGCCUGGGGGUUGAAACAACCUUCACCUAUUCUCAAACUUUAAAUAUGUAAGAAGUCCUUGUUACUUGAUUGAACGUGGA
RNAcentral lists this ribosomal RNA (1022 nucleotides) under Pseudochaetosphaeronema larense. RNAcentral's name for it is "eukaryotic LSU rRNA". It matches the Rfam family "Eukaryotic large subunit ribosomal RNA", at positions 71 to 1105 of the family's 3401-position model. The record is from RNAcentral. Lineage: Eukaryota; Fungi; Ascomycota; Dothideomycetes; Pleosporales.